RNAcentral lists this ribosomal RNA (468 nucleotides) under uncultured bacterium. RNAcentral describes it as "partial 16S ribosomal RNA". It matches the Rfam family "Bacterial small subunit ribosomal RNA", at positions 28 to 507 of the family's 1533-position model. The record is from RNAcentral.
GAUGAACGCUGGCGGCGUGCUUAACACAUGCAAGUCGAACGGAAAGGCCCAAGCUUGCUUGGGUACUCGAGUGGCGAACGGGUGAGUAACACGUGGGUGAUCUGCCCUGCACUUCGGGAUAAGCCUGGGAAACUGGGUCUAAUACCGGAUAGGACGAUGGUUUGGAUGCCAUUGUGGAAAGUUUUUUCGGUGUGGGAUGAGCUCGCGGCCUAUCAGCUUGUUGGUGGGGUAAUGGCCUACCAAGGCGUCGACGGGUAGCCGGCCUGAGAGGGUGUACGGCCACAUUGGGACUGAGAUACGGCCCAGACUCCUACGGGAGGCAGCAGUGGGGAAUAUUGCACAAUGGGCGCAAGCCUGAUGCAGCGACGCCGCGUGGGGGAUGACGGCCUUCGGGUUGUAAACUCCUUUCGCUAGGGACUAAGCGUUUUUGUGACGGUACCUGGAGAAGAAGCACCGGCUAACUACGUG